GAUGAACGCUAGCUACAGGCUUAACACAUGCAAGUCGCGGGGCAGCAUGAAUUUAGCUUGCUAAAUUUGAUGGCGACCGGCGCACGGGUGAGUAUCGCGUAUCCAACCUUCCCAUAUCCACGGGAUAGCCUGCCGAAAGGCAGAUUAAUACCGUAUGUUGUCGCACGCUGGCAUCAAAAAUGCGACGAAAAGGCUUAGCGGAUAUGGAUGGGGAUGCGUCCGAUUAGCUUGACGGCGGGGUAACGGCCCACCGUGGCGACGAUCGGUAGGGGUUCUGAGAGGAAGGUCCCCCACAUUGGAACUGAGACACGGUCCAAAACUCCUACGGGAGGCAGCAGUGAGGAAUAUUGGUCAAUGGGCGGAGGACG
This 368-nucleotide ribosomal RNA is filed under the name uncultured bacterium. Its description in RNAcentral is "bacterial SSU rRNA". It matches the Rfam family "Bacterial small subunit ribosomal RNA", at positions 28 to 384 of the family's 1533-position model. The record is from RNAcentral.